GAAUGGGGGCGGCUGGCUGAAAGGGGGUGCCGCGGCGGAAGGAGGUACAGGCGGCGCAAUGCUUUUGAAGUCCCUGCCGGAAGACGCGCACGGACUCACUGGAGCAGCUGGGACGGCACCCUGCACCUUGUAUAGCAACCACCGGCCGAAGCUGUCCCUGCGCUCCAUGCCGAUAGCGGAGGACGUGGACCUGCUGCUGUUGCAGUGAGGCUGGGUGCCAGGAGAGCAAGCUGCAGAGGAUGGUGCGGGGCUAUGUCACCUAGCUGUCCAACAGCAGGAACCAACGGAGUCCAACAGCGGGAACAGCUGUGUUGCAGGGAGAAUGGAACUCUCUCCUGGCAGCAGACACUACACAGAGCAAUAUGGUCUUCCACUUCACCCUGAAGAUAAAGAUACAUUUUUGUUUAAAUGGAGAUAGAAUUUCGAAAACAAUGUGUAACAAGGUGUAAGUCGGCAGAAAAUUGAUAGAAAUCUUGGUAAUGCAUCUGAAUAAUAACAAUGGAUAACACUCUGUUUCUUUAUGGCAUGAAUACAACAGUCUCUUGGGGUAACCAGAUGACCCAUUAGAAUUACUAAAAACGAUCUACAAAAUGUGAGACUAUCAGCACCUAAUUUGCAAUCACUGGAAGGUAUGUGAGUAGUAGCUUGAUGUACAGGGGGAAGACCAUCUAAG
Long non-coding RNA from Pseudophryne corroboree (corroboree frog), 673 nucleotides. RefSeq lists it as uncharacterized. The record is from RefSeq and is a predicted model, not a curated record. NCBI's taxonomy places the organism in Eukaryota, Metazoa, Chordata, Amphibia, Anura, Myobatrachidae. The transcript has 3 exons.